UACGUAGGGUGCGAGCGUUGUCCGGAAUUAUUGGGCGUAAAGAGCUUGUAGGCGGUUUGUCGCGUCUGCCGUGAAAAUCCGGGGCUCAACCCCGGACUUGCGGUGGGUACGGGCAGACUAGAGUGUGGUAGGGGGAGACGUGAAUUCCUGGUGUAGCGGUGAAAUGCGCAGAUAUCAGGAGGAACACCAAUGGCGAAGGCAGCUCGCUGGGACGUGACUGACGCUGAGACGCGAAAGCGUGGGGAGCAAACAGG
Molecule: ribosomal RNA, 254 nt
Filed under: uncultured bacterium
Lineage: Bacteria
Description: partial 16S ribosomal RNA
Rfam family: Bacterial small subunit ribosomal RNA
Source: RNAcentral